Molecule: non-coding RNA, 602 nt
Organism: Taeniopygia guttata (zebra finch)
Lineage: Eukaryota; Metazoa; Chordata; Aves; Passeriformes; Estrildidae
Source: RefSeq, a predicted model, not a curated record
CCCUCCUCCGCGCCCCGGGCCGCGGUGGGGCCGGGAGCGCGGAUUUCUGCGCGGAGAGGGGACCGCGGGUGGGUCCGGGCUCCGCCGGCGCUGCGGGAACGGAGCCGAGGCCCGGGAGAGCCGCCAGGAGCCGGGAAAAGUCCGGGCUGAAGUUCCUGUUCUGCCUGAUUCGCAGCGAGGACUUUGAGCAGAGGCUCCAAAAUCCCGGCCUGGGCUGUGCUCACGCCACAGCCGCUCCCGGUGGCACCACCAGGGACACGGUCCCCGGGCCUCUGCCCCGCUCGGGGGGCUGGAACUGCUGCUCCAAGCGGGACCUGACCCCUCCUGGGCUCGCUGGAAUGCGAGGGACGCUCUAAAGGAAAACCCCGAAGGUCUCUGCGCAAUCCCUUGGGGCUGGGCCCCGAUUUCUGUCGGGGUUGUGCGUGGCCGCAGAGCCAUGAGGGAAGAUGGGAGGAGUGAGGCAGAGGCUGGAAAAGGAAACAAAACCUCCAAAGUCUCUGCGGGGCUGGAAAAGGAAACAAAACCUCCAAAGUCUCCGCGGGGCUGGAGGGCUCCGAUGGCACCCGGGGGUGGCAGGGAAAUAAAAUGUACCUUGAUUUUUC